Molecule: ribosomal RNA, 253 nt
Filed under: uncultured bacterium
Lineage: Bacteria
Description: partial 16S ribosomal RNA
Rfam family: Bacterial small subunit ribosomal RNA
Source: RNAcentral
UACGUAGGUGGCAGGCGUUGUCCGGAAUUAUUGGGCGUAAAGCGCGCGCAGGCGGUCCUUUAAGUCUGAUGUGAAAGCCCACGGCUCAACCGUGGAGGGUCAUUGGAAACUGGGGGACUUGAGUGCAGGAGAGAAGAGUGGAAUUCCACGUGUAGCGGUGAAAUGCGUAGAGAUGUGGAGGAACACCAGUGGCGAAGGCAGCUCGCUGGCCCGUGACUGACGCUGAGGCGCGAAAGUAUGGGGAGCAAAAAGG